RNAcentral lists this ribosomal RNA (447 nucleotides) under uncultured bacterium. RNAcentral's name for it is "partial 16S ribosomal RNA". It matches the Rfam family "Bacterial small subunit ribosomal RNA", at positions 29 to 523 of the family's 1533-position model. The record is from RNAcentral.
AACGAACGCUGGCGGCAGGCUUAACACAUGCAAGUCGAACGCCCCGCAAGGGGGGUGACAGACGGGUGAGUAACGCGUGGGAAUCUACCGUACCCUACGGAACAAGAGUGGGAAACGACGGCUAAUACCGUAUACGCUCUUAGGGGGGAAGAUUAUACGGGGUAGGAUGAGCCAGGGUUGGAUUAGCUAGUUGGUGGGGUAAAGGCCUACCAAGGCGACGAUCCAGAGUUGGUCUGAGAGGAUGCUCAGCCACAUUGGGACUGAGACACGGCCCAAACUCCGACGGGAGGCAGAAGUGGGGAAUAUUGGACAAUGGGGGCAAGCCUGAUCCAGCCAUGCCGCGUGAGUGAUGAAGGUCUUAGGAUUGUAAAGCUCUUUCCCCGAUGAAGAUAAUGACGGUAGUCGGAGAAGAAGCCCCGGCUAACUUCGUGCCAGCCGCCGCUGUAA